Triticum aestivum (bread wheat) is the source of this 2513-nucleotide RNA transcript. It is a transcript of the gene named protein LHY-like, with no coding region annotated. The transcript is spliced from 10 exons. Lineage: Eukaryota; Viridiplantae; Streptophyta; Magnoliopsida; Poales; Poaceae. The record is from RefSeq and is a predicted model, not a curated record.
CCUCCUCCUCCUCCUCCGCCUCCGCUCGCUCCUCCCUCCGCCUCCCCCGGCAGCACGUGCGCGCCCCGCCCCGGCGGCCCCCUUUUAGCCGCGCCUCUCGCCGGAGCGCCCCCGCUCGUUUCGCCUCUUUUUCUCCGGGUCUGUUUCGGGCCGGUUUCUUUGGGUCGCCGGCCGGCUCCGGUCGCCGAGGAGGGUGUUUUUUUGGGUGCCUCCUGGCCGAUCCCAGCGUGAGCCGCUGCUUCCGUCCCCGCCUUCGCCGUCGGACGGUGGUGGUGCCUGCCGCCUGCCUCGUUCGAUCUCGGCGACGGGGAGGCCGAGAUUCGGAACCCCGGGGGACGGCUCAUGGCUUCCAUGGCGGUCGCGGAGGAAAGGGAUGCCAUGGAUUCAUCUAGGAUGCCGAUCGGCAAAGGGCUAUCGGUGGAUGUUGCAAUGGAGCCCAAUGAGGAGGGCAUGGGUGAGCAUCCUGUCAAGCCUAGGAAGCCAUACACGAUCACGAAGCAGCGGGAGAAGUGGACGGAGGAAGAACACGAGAAGUUCCUGGAGGCGCUGAAGCUGUAUGGUCGGUCCUGGCGUCAGAUACAAGAACACAUUGGCACAAAGACCGCUGUCCAAAUCCGAAGCCAUGCCCAGAAGUUUUUCUCCAAGGUGGUGCGUGAACCUGGUGCUAAAAUUGAGAUCGAGAUCCCUCCCCCUAGGCCAAAGAGGAAACCACUACAUCCAUAUCCUCGCAAGCGUGCCAACUCCUGCAACGGAGCAAACCCAGCAAAUGGGCAAUCCAAGCUUGCUCAAAUUUCAUCUUCUUCUGGUUCUGACCAAGAGAAUGGUUCUCCCGUGUCGGUGCUAUCUGCGAUGCAGUCGGAUGCCUUUGGAUCAUCGAUGUCAAACCCCUCAUCUCGCAGUACCUCCCCAGAGUCAUCAGAUGAGGAGAAUAAUGUUCCUCCAAUGGUCAGCGAAGAGGAAGGUCAACAAACAGGGAUAGAUCAAUCCCACAAGGAAGCUGAUCAGGAAAACAUAGAUAUGGGUACCUCUGAAGAGGAUUCUUCUGAUGAGGUACAGGUAACAAGUGUGAAGCUGUUCGGGAAGACGGUCGUCAUCCCAGACCCGAGGAAAAGAUGCUCCCCGGAUACAGGCUCAGGGCAUGAAAACGGAGAGCAAACCUCACAAUCCUCUAACAUAGGAACAUCACAAGCCCCACUGGCUGUAGAGAUUCCAACACAUACAAAGGGAGGGCAAAUCUCACAAUCCUCUAACAAGGCAACAUCACAAGCCCCAUUGGCUGUAGAGGUUCCGACGUAUACAAAUGGAGAGCAAAUCUCAGAAUUCUCUUACAAGGCAACAUCACAAGCCCCAUUGGCUGUAGAGGUUCCGACAUGUACAAAUGGAGAGCAAAUCUCAGAAUUCUCUUACAAGGCAACAUCACAAGCCCCAUUGGCUGUAGAGAUUCAAGCAUACGCUGCGCCGCCAAGUGCGUGGGUUCUUCCAUACAAUUCAUUCCCGCUCCAUUUCGGGGAAUCAGCGGAAGCCAGAAUUGCCCGUUUGCACAUGUGGUGGCCAUACUAUGGGUUUCCUAUGGUCCAUCCAAGUGGACCGAGUGCAGUGGCACACAACGGAAAAGUUACUGAUGAGAGCGAAGCUGCGAAGAGCCCUCCAGUUGAAUCAAGCUUGGACUUCGUUGACAAUACUCAGGCAACAGCCAGCAAGCAGUGGAAAGUGCUUGAGUCGCUUGGAACAGCGCAGGCCCCUCCUUCGGCUUCUAAUUUUCAGCUUAAACCAAGCACGAACUCGGCCUUCGUGAGAGUGAAGCCGAUCAUCAGCAGUGGAGAUGAGCCGGAGGAGCCUGUUCCACAUAUUCCUUUGCUCCACUGUAUUCUUAGGUUUUACUUGCACAUAGAGAUUGGCGGCGGUCUGGUCCGGGAAAUGCGCGUUGUUUCCUGCUUGCGCCUUGUAAUGAGCAGGGCACAGGUGGUUGCUGAUGCAAAUAUCUCAUGUGAAGAACCGAAAUGGAAAUGGAUAGCUGAAGGAUUCAUUUCGACAAAACAGAUGAAAGUCAAACUACUUGAUGGGGAAGGUCUGCAUAUUCUCAUGGGUAUGCCUUGUUUGGCCUAUCUCCAGCUAAAAGUCUCAAUUCAGCUGGCGUCCUGACUGUAAGUAGUAACAGAUUCAAGCUGCUAGAGGUGUUCGACUAUAGUAUCUGGUGUGGUGAAGAAACGGGUAUAAAAUUUGCAGCAGGUGCGAUGACAGCACUCCGAUGGCACAACCUUUCCUGGAGUGCAACUCAAGUUUAGUUGAGAUAUGGUGAUGGUUCGAACAUAGGCAUCGAACAUCUUGCAAGCCUUGUGUACCUCCGGGUCCAAACUUUUUGUGAUGAUGCAACUCGGGAGGAGGUGUUGAAGAUGAGAUGUUUAAGAGUUAUGAGGAGAGGGCAAAGGAGGGGGACAGGCGCAGGGAAGCAGAUAUUUGGAAAAUGCAAGAUUUGUAUGCUUCAGCAACCAAUUGAACUGAACCGGCUGUAG